This 201-nucleotide unclassified non-coding RNA is filed under the name Hevea brasiliensis (rubber tree). The record is from RNAcentral. Lineage: Eukaryota; Viridiplantae; Streptophyta; Magnoliopsida; Malpighiales; Euphorbiaceae.
AAAAGCUCCAAAUGCUGAAGAUAUGGGGCACAAAUUUCAAAUGAGUGAUCACUUUCACCACCAUCAUCCACCCAAUAACCUUCCAACUUCAAGCUUUUUACCUUUAACGAAUUGAUUUUCAAAUGACGAAAGCCCCCAACAUUAUUAAACACUAUAGCUUCCAAUGCAGGACAACCUGAUAGUAAAUUCUCAAUCUCAGCA